CAAACCAAAGCUGGCGCCGGCGCACGGGUGAGUAACACGUAUCCAACCUGCCUCAUACUCGGGGAUAGCCUUUCGAAAGAAAGAUUAAUAUCCGAUAGCAUAUAUUUCCCGCAUGGGUUUUAUAUUAAAGAAAUUCGGUAUGAGAUGGGGAUGCGUUCCAUUAGUUUGUUGGGGGGGUAACGGCCCACCAAGACUACGAUGGAUAGGGGUUCUGAGAGGAAGGUCCCCCACAUUGGAACUGAGACACGGUCCAA
This 254-nucleotide ribosomal RNA is filed under the name uncultured bacterium. RNAcentral's name for it is "partial 16S ribosomal RNA". It matches the Rfam family "Bacterial small subunit ribosomal RNA", at positions 79 to 334 of the family's 1533-position model. The record is from RNAcentral.